RNAcentral lists this ribosomal RNA (585 nucleotides) under uncultured bacterium. Its description in RNAcentral is "bacterial SSU rRNA". It matches the Rfam family "Bacterial small subunit ribosomal RNA", at positions 338 to 916 of the family's 1533-position model. The record is from RNAcentral.
CCUACGGGAGGCAGCAGUGGGGAAUUUUGGACAAUGGGCGAAAGCCUGAUCCAGCAAUGCCGCGUGAGUGAAGAAGGCCUUCGGGUUGUAAAGCUCUUUUGUCAGGGAAGAAACGGUGCGGGCUAAUAUCCUGCACUAAUGACGGUACCUGAAGAAUAAGCACCGGCUAACUACGUGCCAGCAGCCGCGGUAAUACGUAGGGUGCAAGCGUUAAUCGGAAUUACUGGGCGUAAAGCGUGCGCAGGCGGUUUUGUAAGUCUGUCGUGAAAUCCCCGGGCUCAACCUGGGAAUUGCGAUGGAGACUGCAAGGCUAGAAUCUGGCAGAGGGGGGUAGAAUUCCACGUGUAGCAGUGAAAUGCGUAGAGAUGUGGAGGAACACCGAUGGCGAAGGCAGCCCCCUGGGUCAAGAUUGACGCUCAUGCACGAAAGCGUGGGGAGCAAACAGGAUUAGAUACCCUGGUAGUCCACGCCCUAAACGAUGUCUACUAGUUGUCGGGUUUUAAUUAACUUGGUAACGCAGCUAACGCGUGAAGUAGACCGCCUGGGGAGUACGGUCGCAAGAUUAAAACNAAAUGAAGUUGACGG